Molecule: ribosomal RNA, 263 nt
Filed under: uncultured bacterium
Lineage: Bacteria
Description: partial 16S ribosomal RNA
Rfam family: Bacterial small subunit ribosomal RNA
Source: RNAcentral
GGCGACCGGCGCACGGGUGCGUAACGCGUAUGCAACCUACCUGUAACAGGGGGAUAACACUGAGAAAUCGGUACUAAUACCGCAUAACACUAUGAGAGGCAUCUCUUGUGGUUGAAAGUUUCGGCGGUUACAGAUGGGCAUGCGUUGUAUUAGCUGGUUGGUAAGGUAACGGCUUACCAAGGCGACGAUACAUAGGGGGACUGAGAGGUUAACCCCCCACAUUGGUACUGAGACGCGGACCAAACUCCUACGGAAGGCAGCAG